This 72-nucleotide transfer RNA is filed under the name Ictidomys tridecemlineatus (thirteen-lined ground squirrel). RNAcentral describes it as "Spermophilus tridecemlineatus (thirteen-lined ground squirrel) tRNA". It matches the Rfam family "tRNA". Rfam says of the family: Transfer RNA (tRNA) molecules are approximately 80 nucleotides in length. Their secondary structure includes four short double-helical elements and three loops (D, anti-codon, and T loops). Lineage: Eukaryota; Metazoa; Chordata; Mammalia; Rodentia; Sciuridae. The record is from Rfam by way of RNAcentral.
AGGGUUGUGGCUCAGUGGUAGAGCGCUUGCCUAGCAUGCCUGAGGCACUGGGUUCAAGUCCUGGCACCACAU